RNAcentral lists this ribosomal RNA (492 nucleotides) under uncultured bacterium. RNAcentral describes it as "partial 16S ribosomal RNA". It matches the Rfam family "Bacterial small subunit ribosomal RNA", at positions 29 to 507 of the family's 1533-position model. The record is from RNAcentral.
AGUGAACGCUGGCGGUAGGCCUAACACAUGCAAGUCGAACGGCAGCACAGUAAGAGCUUGCUCUUACGGGUGGCGAGUGGCGGACGGGUGAGGAAUACAUCGGAAUCUACUUUUUCUUGGGGGAUAACGUAGGGAAACUUACGCUAAUACCGCAUACGACCUACGGGUGAAUGCAUGUGUUCUUCGGACCUUGCGCGUUUGAAUGAGCCGAUGUCGGAUUAGCUAGUUGGCGGGGUAAAGGCCCACCAAGGCGACGAUCCGUAGCUGAUCUGAGAGGAUGAUCAGCCACACUGGAACUGAGACACGGUCCAGACUCCUACGGGAGGCAGCAGUGGGGAAUAUUAGACAAUGGGCGCAAGCCUGAUCCAGCCAUACCGCGUGGGUGAAGAAGGCCUUCGGGUUGUAAAGCCCUUUUGUUGGGAAAGAAAAGCAGCAGGUUAAUACCCCGCUGUUCUGACGGUACCCAAAGAAUAAGCACCGGCUAACUUCGUG